Molecule: non-coding RNA, 420 nt
Organism: Lolium perenne
Lineage: Eukaryota; Viridiplantae; Streptophyta; Magnoliopsida; Poales; Poaceae
Source: RefSeq, a predicted model, not a curated record
UGGGUUUCGACUGCUGAAUCGUUUGAAAUAUUCCUACUGGAUUAUGACCUUGCUUCAAAUUAUGGUCAUCGGACUUAUAGAGCAGGAGUUCGCAAUGAUUCACGACAAUACUGGUACUUCAGCAUCCCCAAGCAAGACAACCAUGUGUCCUUCACUUCGGUACCAAAGAUUCUUCGAGCAUAAUGGAGCUUCUGCGGUUCAUGCAAGGGCAAAAAUAAUUUGUUGCUAGCUGCCCUCUUUCGUUGUCUGGCCGAUCAAGAUUAAGUCUCAGUGAUCAUGAUUUAGGUUUCAUGCCGUGGGAGGUGAUCUCCGGUGUUACGAAUAACUAAUGGUAGUGCAUCUUAAGCUUGAUACUGCAAGUAAACAAACACCAGUCUGCUGACAAUGAAGUAAUAUAUUUAGAAUAGUUGAUGCUCAUAA